RNAcentral lists this ribosomal RNA (295 nucleotides) under uncultured bacterium. Its description in RNAcentral is "partial 16S ribosomal RNA". It matches the Rfam family "Bacterial small subunit ribosomal RNA", at positions 775 to 1068 of the family's 1533-position model. The record is from RNAcentral.
GGAUUAGAUACCCUGGUAGUCCACGCCGUAAACGAUGUGCACUAAAUAUUGGAGGAUUGACCCCUUCAGUGUUGUAGCUAACGCGUUAAGUGCACCGCCUGGGGAGUACGGUCGCAAGACUAAAACUCAAAGGAAUUGACGGGGGCCCGCACAAGCGGUGGAUUAUGUGGUUUAAUUCGAAGCAACGCGCAGAACCUUACCUAGGCUUGAAAUCCCGAGAAUCUAACUGAAAGGUUGGAGUGCUCUUCGGAGAAUUCGGUGACAGGCGCUGCAUGGCUGUCGUCAGCUCUGCUGU